GCCAGUUGCAUUUCUUCUGUCAUGGAUUUCUUCUACCAUGCAUUGUUAUAUGUGGUAAAUAUUUUUCCCAGUUUGCCUAUUUUUGUUGUUAUUUUGUUGCUAGGGAUUGAACCCAGGUCCUUGCACAUACUAAGCAUACACUAUACCACUGAGCUACAUACUCCCAACCUCUGUCUUUUAAUGUGCAAGGUUUUUGGUUUGGUUUGGUUUUUUCUUUUGUCAGGGAUGCAGAAAGGGAGAUUCUCACUUUGUUGUCCUGGCUGGAACUCCUAGACUCAACUGGUUUUUCUGUCUUGGCCUCCUAAGUGCUGAAACAAUAGGUACUCCUGACCACACAGCUUUAGUGUGUGAGUUUUAAAUUUUAUGUGGAUAUCUUUUAUGUGGAUAUAUCUACAAUCUUUUCUGGUUUGUUUUGUUUUAUUGUUUUUUGGUACUGGAGAUUGAAUCCAGGGGCACUUUACCACUAAGCUAUAUCCCCAGCCCUUUCUAUUUUUUAUUUUGAGACAGGAUCUCACAAAGUUGCUGAGGCUGACCUCAAACUUUCAGUCCUCCUGCCUCAGCCUGCUAAAUCACUGGGAUUACAGGCAUGUGCCACAGCACCCAGCCCUGGUUUGUAUUCUUUAUAUUUUGUCCAUAGGAAAAUCUUUUCACCCUCAAGUUAUAUACAUAUUUUAUUCUUUAAAAGUAUUUAAUGUCUUUGUUGAUUGAAAUUUAUUUUGGCAACAUCUACUGUAAAAUAGAAAUUAUAAUUUUAAAUUUUUUCAAAUAGUGCCCUACCAUUAUUUACUAUACAAUAUCUCCACUGAUUUACAUGCUGCUAUUUAUCAUAAUCUAAAGAAAGAAAGGGCUGGGGAUGUAGCUCAUUGGUUGAGCACCUCUAGGUUCAGUCCCCAGUACCAAAAAUAUAAAUAAAUAAAUACUGGAGUCUGGAGUGGCUAUACUAAAUAUCAAAUGUACUUUAAAUCAAAUAGUUGCCACAUGGUGGUGGCACACGACGGUAAUCC
Molecule: long non-coding RNA, 1004 nt
Filed under: Marmota monax (woodchuck)
Lineage: Eukaryota; Metazoa; Chordata; Mammalia; Rodentia; Sciuridae
Source: RNAcentral